RNAcentral lists this long non-coding RNA (205 nucleotides) under Gallus gallus (chicken). Lineage: Eukaryota; Metazoa; Chordata; Aves; Galliformes; Phasianidae. The record is from RNAcentral.
UGCAGAGAGCUGAAACCCAAGGCAGAAAGGCACCAUUUCAGGAUUUCGCUCUGAAAUAUUCCCCCGAUGCUCUGCCUUUGGUCCAACAAGGUGGGAGGUGAGGGACAACCUCCAUCCACGUUCCCUGCUUGGAGUGACCUCAGCCACACUGCUGCCCCAAGGCAAUUAGCCCAUGCUCAUUACUGGACGUAUGGGGAUACAUCCA